CUCCUCAAUACCUAAACAAUUUUCCUCUCUCUCUCUCUCUCUCUCUCUCUCUCCCCGCUCCCCCCCCCCACCCCCUCCCUCUCAGUCUCUCUCACAACCGCCGGAUAGAAAAGAGUGCCGUGCAAUGAUGACACCGAUGCAGUGGCGUGAGCGACGAUGCUCAUGGAACAGCCUUGCUAGGUCGAUUUGGAUGGUAGCACCGCUGAUGUUGGCGGGGCGAUAUGAAUUUUCGAUUUGGAUACAUUUUUGAGCGAUUCAGUGUGAAUCUUUGGUGAUGGAUCUAGUGUGGGAAGAAGGUUUUGGGAGAUUUACUUAAGUAAAACACUCAAUUAGUGGAUCUGGAGAAAUUUGGGUUUAUUUCUAAUCAACCUCUGUUUUCUUUUCAUCCAGUUUGCUGUAGGUGUUGAAAGUUGGUGGUGCAGUUGCUAUUGUGGUAGUGGUGAUUUCUGUGAGGUAAAUGUUUGUUGGUAAAGAUGGUGGGCGAGUUAUGCUGAGCAGUGAUAGGACGAUCUAUGGUGUAUAUGUGUUGUUCUGUGUGUAUAGAAACGAUUGUUGUGUGGUGGUACAGUUAAAGUGGAGGCGGUGGUGGUGAAGUAGUGUUGGUUUUUGGUGGUGGUGGUAGAGAUGGGUAGCGGUGCUGGUGGUUAUGUGAUGGUCAUAUUUUUUUAUUGUUGUCAGACUGUCUGUGAUCAGAAUUGUGUUAACUGUAACUUGGUUACAGAUAACAAUUCAUUGUUAAGGUCACAAUUCACUAGUCACAAGUUCAGUUGAUAAGUCACUAUCAUUUUGUAUAGAUCACAAAUCAAUAUAAACGAGUUACAGAUUAAUAUUAACAGGUAACAUGUUACGUUUUGUAGAGUCACG
This 864-nucleotide long non-coding RNA is filed under the name Olea europaea subsp. europaea. Lineage: Eukaryota; Viridiplantae; Streptophyta; Magnoliopsida; Lamiales; Oleaceae. The record is from RNAcentral.